AGAAACUGUAAUGGUCAGUGCAUAGAUUCUCUUGAGUAUAAUGCUCAGAGGAAAGACACUCAUACAGGUUUGGAACAACUUGAGCAUGGGCCACUCAAAGGACUUCAAAACAGGCUUUUAACACUGCUCCUCCCAAGGCAAAGUUCAAUCCAGACAUGCGCCGUGGGAGAUGAGCAACAGUCUACCAGCAGUGGCUGGACCAAUGUAGAAAGGAACAGGGUAGAACAACAAAUAUUUGGCAGCCAUUCGCCCAUCCAAAGGCACACAAGAGCAGCCCCCAGUCGAAUUUUUGCUUUGCUGGUGGAGAGUGUCUCCACUAAUCAAACUGUUUUCACUGAGGUCAUCACAGACGUCAGAAGAGAGUGGUUUUGGCCAGUUCUUUCUCUCUAUUUCUUUCUCUCUGC
Molecule: long non-coding RNA, 404 nt
Organism: Cyprinus carpio carpio
Lineage: Eukaryota; Metazoa; Chordata; Actinopteri; Cypriniformes; Cyprinidae
Source: Ensembl